AAGUCGUAACAAGGUCUCCGUUGGUGAACCAGCGGAGGGAUCAUUACCGAGUACUACGCUCAUAACCCUCUGUGAACCAUUAUACUGUUGCUUCGGCGGCCUGUCCUCGCGGCGGCGCCCGCCGGCCAUGUCAGAAUCUCUGUUUGAACCCGACGAUACCUCUGAGUGUUCUUAAGCGAACCAUAAAAACUUUUAACAACGGAUCUCUUGGCUCCA
RNAcentral lists this unclassified non-coding RNA (216 nucleotides) under air metagenome. RNAcentral describes it as "partial contains small subunit ribosomal RNA, internal transcribed spacer 1, and 5.8S ribosomal RNA". The stretch from base 1 to 46 matches the Rfam family "Eukaryotic small subunit ribosomal RNA", at positions 1786 to 1831 of the family's 1831-position model. The record is from RNAcentral.